GAGUUUGAACCUGGCUCAGGAUGAACGCUGGCGGCGUGCUUAACACAUGCAAGUCGAACGAAGCAUGUAAAACAAUCCUUCGGGUGCAUUUUAUAUGACUGAGUGGCGGACGGGUGAGUAACGCGUGGGGAACCUGCCGUAUGCAGGGGGACAACAGUCAGAAAUGACUGCUAAUACCGCAUAAGCACACAAUGCUGCAUGGCAUGGUGUGAAAAGAUUUAUCGGCAUACGAUGGCCCCGCGUCUGAUUAGCCAGUUGGCAGGGUAACGGCCUACCAAAGCAACGAUCAGUAGCCGGCUUGAGAGAGUGACCGGCCACAUUGGGACUGAGACACGGCCCAGACUCCUACGGGAGGCAGCAGUGGGGAAUAUUGCACAAUGGGGGAAACCCUGAUGCAGCGACGCCGCGUGAGUGAUGAAGUAUUUCGGUAUGUAAAGCUCUAUCAGCAGGGAAGAAUAGGUCAUCAGCCUUUGGCUGGUGACAUGAAUGACG
This 492-nucleotide ribosomal RNA is filed under the name uncultured bacterium. Its description in RNAcentral is "bacterial SSU rRNA". It matches the Rfam family "Bacterial small subunit ribosomal RNA", at positions 9 to 474 of the family's 1533-position model. The record is from RNAcentral.